RNAcentral lists this ribosomal RNA (584 nucleotides) under uncultured bacterium. RNAcentral's name for it is "bacterial SSU rRNA". It matches the Rfam family "Bacterial small subunit ribosomal RNA", at positions 339 to 914 of the family's 1533-position model. The record is from RNAcentral.
CUACGGGAGGCAGCAGUGGGGAAUAUUGGACAAUGGGCGCAAGCCUGAUCCAGCCAUACCGCGUGGGUGAAGAAGGCCUUCGGGUUGUAAAGCCCUUUUGUUGGGAAAGAAAUCCUGUCGGUUAAUAACCGGUAGGGAUGACGGUACCCAAAGAAUAAGCACCGGCUAACUUCGUGCCAGCAGCCGCGGUAAUACGAAGGGUGCAAGCGUUACUCGGAAUUACUGGGCGUAAAGCGUGCGUAGGUGGUUGUUUAAGUCUGCUGUGAAAGCCCUGGGCUCAACCUGGGAAUUGCAGUGGAUACUGGGCGACUAGAGUGUGGUAGAGGAUAGUGGAAUUUCCGGUGUAGCAGUGAAAUGCGUAGAGAUCGGAAGGAACAUCUGUGGCGAAGGCGACUAUCUGGGCCAACACUGACACUGAGGCACGAAAGCGUGGGGAGCAAACAGGAUUAGAUACCCUGGUAGUCCACGCCCUAAACGAUGCGAACUGGAUGUUGGGCACAACUUGGUGCCCAGUAUCGAAGCUAACGCGUUAAGUUCGCCGCCUGGGGAGUACGGUCGCAAGACUGAAACUCAAAGGAAUUGAC